Acanthosepion pharaonis is the source of this 113-nucleotide non-coding RNA. Lineage: Eukaryota; Metazoa; Mollusca; Cephalopoda; Sepiida; Sepiidae. The record is from the annotation of a GenBank genome assembly.
UUACGGCUAUAUCAUGUUAAAACUCGUGUUCUCGUGCAAUCACCGAAGUUAAGCAACGUCGAUCCUGGCUAGUACCUAGAUCGGUGACUGCUUGGGAAUCCCAGGGGUUGUAA